CUUUGAGUUGAAAACCUGAGGAAAGCGAGUAAGCAUGUUGUGGGGAAUGCCCAUUAUGUUGUGCAGGUAGUCAAAUGUCUGUCUGAGUCUCUUUUUACUUGCAGUUAAAAUCUUGGGGGUUUUAAAUGCAAUCUGCUGAACUUCAUUACGUUCAAAACCAAAUUCAACCUGACAAACCUGGAGAUUCUCUUUUACAGGCUCUAAUUUGCCAGUCAGCAGCCUUGGAAAACGAAUUACCAGAUCCUUUGUCUUUUUUACACUGAGGCCGAGUUCAUUUUUGAAGAAACCCAGUCUGUUAUCCAGUCUUUCCACUGAAAACAACAGUAAAUAUGGAGCUCUUGAGACCAUCUGAGUAAUUUCUGCAUUACCAAAUUUUUUUGAUUUUAGGUAAGCCACUCUGGUUUCUAGAGCUUCCAGAUCUUCACCAAGGAUGUAUGGAUUUUUGGUCAGGAACGGUCCCAGUUGAUUGUCUUCUAUACCCACAUCCUUCAGAAACAGAAGUAUUUUAGUUAUAUCUUUUUCAAAGUCCAAGGUCAGUAAGAGUUGACCUGCCUUUUGACGUUUCUCCACUUGAGAUAAGUCAACUCCUACAACAAAUAAAAUGAGAGAUAGUUUUAGUUAAACACAGACCUGAUUUCCUAUAAAUGUUUCAGAAGGUCAUGCUGAAGUUUCUAAGGAGUAAUACAUAUAUAUUUUUUAUUUUAUUUUCCUCUUAUUUAGCAUACCUUGCUAAC
This 734-nucleotide long non-coding RNA is filed under the name Gallus gallus (chicken). The record is from RNAcentral. Lineage: Eukaryota; Metazoa; Chordata; Aves; Galliformes; Phasianidae.